UGUGAAAUGUUUGGACAUGUCUAGAGAG
RNAcentral lists this non-coding RNA (28 nucleotides) under Mus musculus (house mouse). Lineage: Eukaryota; Metazoa; Chordata; Mammalia; Rodentia; Muridae. The record is from RNAcentral.